This 520-nucleotide ribosomal RNA is filed under the name uncultured Glomus. RNAcentral describes it as "SSU rRNA". It matches the Rfam family "Eukaryotic small subunit ribosomal RNA", at positions 569 to 1083 of the family's 1831-position model. Lineage: Eukaryota; Fungi; Glomeromycota; Glomeromycetes; Glomerales; Glomeraceae. The record is from RNAcentral.
AGCAGCCGCGGUAAUUCCAGCUCCAAUAGCGUAUAUUAAAGUUGUUGCAGUUAAAAAGCUCGUAGUUGAAUUUCGAGACCGGUUUAUUGGUCGUGCUUUUUGUACGUACUGGUAUUAUUGGUUUCUCCUUUCUGACGAAUCUUAAUGCCAUUAAUUUGGUGUUUUGGGGAAUCAGGACUGUUACUUUGAAAAAAAUUAGAGUGUUUAAAGCAGGCUCACGCUUGAAUACAUUAGCAUGGAAUAAUGAAACAGGACGUUUGAUUCUAUUUUGUUGGUUUCUAGGAUCGACGUAAUGAUUAAUAGGGAUAGUUGGGGGCAUUAGUAUUCAAUUGUCAGAGGUGAAAAUUCUUGGAUUUAUUGAAGACUAACUACUGCGAAAAGCAUUUGCCAAGGAUGUUUUCAUUAAUCAAGAACGAAAAGUUAGGGGAUCGAAGACGAUCAGAUACCGUCGUAGUCUUAACCAUAAACUAUGCCGACUAGGGAUCGGAUGAUGUUAAAUUUUUUUAAAUGACUCAUUCGG